CAGGGAGACAAACAAUGAUUUUGAUGCCUGAGUAUUUGUAUUCUUAGGUCAAAAUCCUGUCACCUUAGGUCGAUCGGUACCUCAGCUUUGAAGUUAAGGAUUAAUAGCAAUAUUAAUAGCUUAAUGGAGAUUUUUAGUUCCUAAACUUUGUCUAGGUCACACCCCAAAAGGGAUGAGACUCCUGGGCCAUUAGCUCAGGUGGUUAGAGCGCACCCCUGAUAAGGGUGAGGUCCCUGGUUCAAGUCCAGGAUGGCCCAUUCGGUGUUGGGGGUUUAGCUCAGUUGGUAGAGCGCCUGCUUUGCAAGCAGGAUGUCAGGAGUUCGAGUCUCCUAACCUCCACUGACCGAACUGUAUCCCCAUCUCCAGAGAUUAUGGAGUAUGAGUUCGCUUGGUGUGUGAUUUAGAAUUGUUCGCUGGAAGAUCCUAGCUUCCUGUCAUUCUGAAUUGAAACCUGAUUGUUUCAGUUGAGUUGAUAAGAUGCUGGGCUCAAGCUGAGAGAUCAGUUUGAAGUUCUAGCAGAACCUUGACAACUGCAUAGGUGAGUCUGGAAAGAAUAAAGCAUCUCAUGGAUGCAUCAUUCUUUUUUAGAUGAUGUUUGAUUCUUGAGCAAGAGCCGAGACUCCAUCAUGUUCUUCUGAUUGUGUCGAGCAAUCAGGAGUUUGAUUAUUGAUUCAGCAAUGAAUGAAUAAGAAUCCGUUUCAACAACGGCAAGCGUGAUGGAGGUGAAUU
This 729-nucleotide transfer RNA is filed under the name uncultured cyanobacterium. RNAcentral's name for it is "partial 16S-23S ribosomal RNA intergenic spacer". The stretch from base 267 to 339 matches the Rfam family "tRNA". Lineage: Bacteria; Bacillati; Cyanobacteriota. The record is from RNAcentral.